CCUACGGGAGGCAGCAGUGGGGAAUAUUGCGCAAUGGGCGAAAGCCUGACGCAGCGACGCAGCGUGAGGGACGAAGGCCUUCGGGUUGUAAACCUCUUUCAGCGGGGACGAAGCGAAAGUGACGGUACCCGCAGAAGAAGCACCGGCUAACUACGUGCCAGCAGCCGCGGUAAUACGUAGGGUGCAAGCAUUGUCCGGAUUUAUUGGGCGUAAAGAGCUCGUAGGCGGCUUGUCACGUCGGAUGUGAAAACUCGGGGCUCAACCCCGAGCCUGCAUUCGAUACGGGCUAGCUAGAGUGUUGCAGGGGAGACUGGAAUUCCUGGUGUAGCGGUGAAAUGCGCAGAUAUCAGGAGGAACACCGGUGGCGAAGGCGGGUCUCUGGGCAACUACUGACGCUGAGGAGCGAAAGCGUGGGGAGCGAACAGGAUUAGAUACCCUGGUAGUCCACGCCGUAAACGGUGGGCGCUAGGUGUGGGGAACCUUCCGACGUUCUCUGUGCCGUAGCUAACGCAUUAAGCGCCCCGCCUGGGGAGUCGGCCGCAAGGCUAAAACUCAAAUGAAUUGACGGCUGAGACGUGCCGACGGACGACGACGAGGGAGGUAGG
This 605-nucleotide ribosomal RNA is filed under the name uncultured bacterium. Its description in RNAcentral is "bacterial SSU rRNA". It matches the Rfam family "Bacterial small subunit ribosomal RNA", at positions 338 to 954 of the family's 1533-position model. The record is from RNAcentral.